CAUGUAAUUCAGCUAGUUAGGAAUAAAAUAGAAGAAUAAAGAGUAAACUAGAUAGAAGAAUACAAACAGGAGAAUAUAGUUCACAGUUCAUCUUUUUCCAGAGG
Octopus sinensis (East Asian common octopus) is the source of this 104-nucleotide long non-coding RNA. RefSeq lists it as uncharacterized. The record is from RefSeq and is a predicted model, not a curated record. NCBI's taxonomy places the organism in Eukaryota, Metazoa, Mollusca, Cephalopoda, Octopoda, Octopodidae. The transcript has 3 exons.